CUGGCUCAGGAUGAACGCUGGCGGCGUGCUUAACACAUGCAAGUCGAGCGAAGCGAUUCAAAUGAAGUUUUCGGAUGGAUUUUGAAUUGACUUAGCGGCGGACGGGUGAGUAACGCGUGGGUAACCUGCCUCAUACAGGGGGAUAACAGUCGGAAACGACUGCUAAUACCGCAUAAGCACACAGUGCCGCAUGGUACAGUGUGAAAAACUCCGGUGGUAUGAGAUGGACCCGCGUCUGAUUAGGUAGUUGGUGAGGUAACGGCCCACCAAGCCGACGAUCAGUAGCCGACCUGAGAGGGUGACCGGCCACAUUGGGACUGAGACACGGCCCAAACUCCUACGGGAGGCAGCAGUGGGGAAUAUUGGACAAUGGGGGAAACCCUGAUCCAGCGACGCCGCGUGAGUGAAGAAGUAUUUCGGUAUGUAAAGCUCUAUCAGCAGGGAAGAAAAUGACGGUACCUGACUAAGAAGCCCCGGCUAACUACGUGCCAGCAGCCGCGGUAAUACGUAGGGGGCAAGCGUUAUCCGGAUUUACUGGGUGUAAAGGGAGCGUAGACGGCACUGCAAGUCUGGAGUGAAAGCCCGGGGCUCAACCCCGGGACUGCUUUGGAAACUGUGGUGCUAGAGUGCAGGAGAGGUAAGUGGAAUUCCUAGUGUAGCGGUGAAAUGCGUAGAUAUUAGGAGGAACACCAGUGGCGAAGGCGGCUUACUGGACUGUAACUG
RNAcentral lists this ribosomal RNA (723 nucleotides) under Clostridium sp. ASBs410. RNAcentral describes it as "bacterial SSU rRNA". It matches the Rfam family "Bacterial small subunit ribosomal RNA", at positions 19 to 742 of the family's 1533-position model. Lineage: Bacteria; Bacillati; Bacillota; Clostridia; Eubacteriales; Clostridiaceae. The record is from RNAcentral.